Molecule: ribosomal RNA, 405 nt
Filed under: Afipia sp. VB45
Lineage: Bacteria; Pseudomonadati; Pseudomonadota; Alphaproteobacteria; Hyphomicrobiales; Nitrobacteraceae
Description: bacterial SSU rRNA
Rfam family: Bacterial small subunit ribosomal RNA
Source: RNAcentral
AGAGUUUGAUCCCAGGCUCAGAGCGAACGCUGGCGGCAGGCUUAACACAUGCAAGUCGAACGGGCACUUCGGUGCUAGUGGCAGACGGGUGAGUAACACGUGGGAACGUACCUUUCGGUUCGGAAUAAUACAGGGAAACUUGUACUAAUACCGGAUACGCCCUUUGGGGGAAAGAUUUAUCGCCGAUUGAUCGGCCCGCGUCUGAUUAGCUAGUUGGUGAGGUAAUGGCUCACCAAGGCGACGAUCAGUAGCUGGUCUGAGAGGAUGAUCAGCCACACUGGGACUGAGACACGGCCCAGACUCCUACGGGAGGCAGCAGUGGGGAAUAUUGGACAAUGGGCGCAAGCCUGAUCCAGCCAUGCCGCGUGUGUGAUGAAGGCCUUAGGGUUGAAACACUUUGCCGGA